RNAcentral lists this ribosomal RNA (484 nucleotides) under uncultured bacterium. RNAcentral describes it as "partial 16S ribosomal RNA". It matches the Rfam family "Bacterial small subunit ribosomal RNA", at positions 30 to 507 of the family's 1533-position model. The record is from RNAcentral.
AUUGAACGCCGGCGGCAGGCCUAACACAUGCAAGUCGAGCGGGUGAAGGGAGCUUGCUCCUGGAUUCAGCGGCGGACGGGUGAGUAAUGCCUAGGAAUCUGCCUGGUAGUGGGGGAUAACGUCCGGGAACGGGCGCUAAUACCGCAUACGUCCUGAGGGAGAAAGUGGGGGAUCUUCGGACCUCACGCUAUCAAAUGAGCCUAGGUCGGACUAGCUAGUUGGUGGGGUAAAGGCCUACCAAGGCGACGAUCCGUAACUGGUCUGAGAGGAUGAUCAGUCACACUGGAACUGAGACACGGUCCAGACUCCUACGGGAGGCAGCAGUGGGGAAUAUUGGACAAUGGGCGAAAGCCUGAUCCAGCCAUGCCGCGUGUGUGAAGAAGGUCUUCGGAUUGUAAAGCACUUUAAGUUGGGAGGAAGGGCAGUAAGUUAAUACCUUGCUGUUUUGACGUUACCAACAGAAUAAGCACCGGCUAACUUCGUG